UACGGAGGAGGCAAGCGUUAUCCGGAAUGAUUGGGCGUAAAGCGCCCGCAGGUGGCGAUGUAAGUCUGCUGUUAAAGAGUGAGGCUCAACCUCAUAAGAGCAGUGGAAACUACAUAGCUAGAGUACGUUCGGGGCAGAGGGAAUUCCUGGUGUAGCGGUGAAAUGCGUAGAGAUCAGGAAGAACACCAGUGGCGAAGGCGCUCUGCUAGGCCGUAACUGACACUGAGGGACGAAAGCUAGGGGAGCGAAUGGG
RNAcentral lists this ribosomal RNA (253 nucleotides) under uncultured bacterium. RNAcentral describes it as "partial 16S ribosomal RNA". It matches the Rfam family "Bacterial small subunit ribosomal RNA", at positions 524 to 776 of the family's 1533-position model. The record is from RNAcentral.